Theobroma cacao (cacao) is the source of this 372-nucleotide non-coding RNA. NCBI's taxonomy places the organism in Eukaryota, Viridiplantae, Streptophyta, Magnoliopsida, Malvales, Malvaceae. The record is from RefSeq and is a predicted model, not a curated record.
CUACCUAGUAACUAAUCCAAAAUCAAAGCAUUGUUUCUCAUAGUAUGCAUUCUCUUAGCUUCCUCUCUCUUUAUCCCCACCUCUACCAUGGCUAGACAGCUGCAGGCAGAUCCCAUUUAUAAUCGACCUGGUGUUCCAUGUGGCCGUGGAGAUCCUUACAAUCGAAUGUGCGUACCUCAUGUAAAGCCAUCUCCUCCUAAGUGCACAAUCUAUAAUCGUCGUGGCUGCAGUCCUCUUGCAUCUGUACCUUCACUGUGGAGGGAAAGCCAUGGAGAACUAUUGGCAAAUUAUAAAGGGAAUAAUUAUAUGAAGCUAAAUAAAUAAGUUGCCAACCAGAUCAUGAAGUUGCAGUUGCCAUGAUUUGAGUUUUGA